Long non-coding RNA from Chiroxiphia lanceolata (lance-tailed manakin), 2805 nucleotides. RefSeq lists it as uncharacterized. The record is from RefSeq and is a predicted model, not a curated record. NCBI's taxonomy places the organism in Eukaryota, Metazoa, Chordata, Aves, Passeriformes, Pipridae. The transcript has 3 exons.
GGAGGCGCCCGCCGGCAUAAUGGCGGGCGGGGACGGGGGGAGCUGUGGCCGCCUCACAGCUGCAAGUCCCAGGGAGCGGGAACGACCUCCUGCACCAGGCUCCCCUACUCACCACCGCGGGAGGCGGAGGAGGAGGGGGCGGACGGCGGAGACGAUGUCGAUACCGGGGCGGAGGGCGGGAAGCGAGACGGGCUCCGCGUCCCUUCCCUCAGGCGGGGCCGCCGCCGCCGCUUCCCUCAGGGGCGGCCGCCAUUUUGUGUGGGCGCGGGGAGCGGGGCUGCCCCUCGUGAGGCGCGGAGCCCGCUCUGCUGAGCGCCUUAACCCUGGCUUUGCCCGCGGUGUUGCGGUGUCACCUUGUUGCAAAAAAUUUAGUAUAUCAAAAUUGCCAUAAAUCAGGGUGUUCUUUGGUGUAAGAUCUUCGUGUGCUUUCGAGCCUAAAUCAGCGGAACAGGCAGCAGCCAGCAUCCCCUAGUUAAGGACAUCCAGGAACUAACAAGCUACAAGGAUGCAGUAAAUCAAGAUGAUGAUGUAUGUCUACGCACACAUUGCUAACUUGGCAAAAUACAGUCCAUGUAUCCUACAGCUGAACUGUACUCAUUAUAGUACUAAAAAUCAUGCCUACAGGUCAAGACCCUUCUCCUGAGCAUGUGUAGAAGUUCACUGGGGUUAUGUAGCUUGUAUGGAAAUUCCUAAUCAAUCAUAAUACAGGGGCUGUGCUUGGAAACUUAGUAACUCUGGAUUUCUGCCUGUAAAUAGUAGUGUGAAAAGUCCAGUGGCCGUGCUUCAUUCACGGAACACCACUGAGCACCCAGCCUUGUGCAGCUCUGAGAUAAAUAAUCAGCAUCUCUUUCUGGUGUGUCAUUACUGGCUUGUUGCACACCUGGUUACGAAUCCAAUUCUGAGGGCAACAACCUCACAGCCCUGAGUCCUGACUGGAUAAGCAUCCGGAGCCAGAAUGAUGUACUGGGAUGUAUGGUAAUGACAGGGCAGCCCAGGCUACACACAAGUCUUGGUGCUUUGCAUGUAAACAGAGGCCCUGUGGUUGUGAAAAGAAACACAAAUCUUUGCCUUCCACAGUCACAUCCUCUCUGUGAACACAGUGAAGUAUUGUCCAGUGUUUGUUAAGACUCAUUAGUCCAUCCCUAUUUAUCUGCAGAGCCCUCUGCUGUGACAGUUCUAAGCAUUGAUGUCCACUGCCUAUGAAAAUAUGUAGUGAACAGAUACUGGAGUCCAGGCCAGAAAGAAACUUCAUUUAAUGCUCCAAUCACAAAACCAGCUGAGCUGUAGCAGCAGAAAAGCACUUUGUCUAACCUAAGGCUUGUGUGUGUCCCAGCUGUCAAGAAAUAAAGAACUGAGAUGGAAACCCUCAUUAAUAUCCUUAUUAGACUUUGUAUUUGCUUGCUCUUCUUGUCUUCUUUAUCUAGAAUUCUCCAUUCCUAAGCCAAGCAUUAGGGCUUUCUACCAUUUCUUCUCUGGAGCAAAUGUCAUUUUUCCACCUUAGAGUCUCCACUUUAUAUCAAGUCUGCUGAAAACAUAUUGUUAUGUAUUAUUUCUUGACAUAUUUCUUUUUCCUAUUACUUGUUUCUCCAACCGCAUUGUUUAACUGUCUGCAUAGAGGGUACAGGAGCUAUUUCUGCAUUCCUGACUCGCCUAAAUUCCUGUUAAACACAAUGGAUGUUCUGAGUGUGCAAGGAUGGGGAUAAAAGUUGUGUUCUGCAUUCUGCUUUUCUAAAGUGGCAUCACUUACAAUUAAAACUUCAAAGAGACAAGCAGCAAAUACAGCACAGGUAAUUAUAGGAUAUCUCUAUCACAUACCAACACUAAAUAUAUCUUAGAUGAAAAUCUGGUAAACAGUUGAGCAAUUGGAGAGUUAUAAAGUGUUUUUCUCUAAAUAGACAUGUUGUGAAAAAAAACCAUUCUAACUAGUAAUUUAUACCGUGGCUUCUCUUGAAUUUUAAUGAGUUUAUAUGCAUAUAACCAUUUUUUUUCCCUGAGAAAAUAAAAUAGAGUAUUCUGUGAUAAAGAGACUAGGUUAAGAUUUGUUUUGUAGCUGAGAUUUUACUUACAAACCUCAUCUCUCCUAGAAAAAAAGACUGUGGUUCCCAUUUCUGAAGAAGACCAGAAAGCAAGUUUUCAAGCCUUAAGACUGCAUAAGACCUACUUAGAGGUCAUAAGUGAUUUCCUAAGUACAGUUAAACAAUUACCACUUUACCAGAAAAGAGAAAAAUGCAGUGAUUUUAAAAGACUGUUGAAAGCCACAGUAGAUCCCCAGAAAAGACUGCACAUCCCAUGAUCCCCGAUGGAAGGACAGCUCCAGCCUCUCAAACACGUGGCUUUGAUCAGCUCUGCACAAGUCAAGAAGUGGUUAAGCAAUGUACUCCAAAACUUUUUAUUCUCAUCCCACAUUUCUUCAGCACUGAGGGCUGCUCAGCUCUAGAUUUUUAAUUUAAUCUGUUUUAUAAAUGGCUGAUUGCAAAACCGUGGGGAGUUAGGCUAAGUUCUGAAUUUUCUUAUGACGUGGGAAAAUUCAGCCUAGAUCUCAAAUUCUCAUUUCAUCUUCUAUGAGUACAAGUGAAUAUUCCUGACUGACAACCAACCAGCUGGGAUGUGUUGUCUUAAGGCACCUGAUAAAUUAUAGACCCUGCUCCAAAACUUUGUAAAUGUAUUAAUACUGCUGCUGCAAUUGCAUAAAAAGCUUGUUUUGGGGAAAAGGGAUGCAUCAGCCCCAUUCUGUGUAUCCAAAGCUUGAAGUUUUCCAACAGGUAAGUGAACAAGAGUGAGGAAAUGGAAAGAGUUUAUGCAGAA